This 879-nucleotide ribosomal RNA is filed under the name Penicillium miczynskii. Its description in RNAcentral is "LSU rRNA". It matches the Rfam family "Eukaryotic large subunit ribosomal RNA", at positions 38 to 930 of the family's 3401-position model. Lineage: Eukaryota; Fungi; Ascomycota; Eurotiomycetes; Eurotiales; Aspergillaceae. The record is from RNAcentral.
GCAUAUCAAUAAGCGGAGGAAAAGAAACCAACCGGGAUUGCCCUAGUAACGGCGAGUGAAGCGGCAAGAGCUCAAAUUUGAAAGCUGGCUCCUUCGGGGUCCGCAUUGUAAUUUGCAGAGGAUGCUUCGGGAGCGGUCCCCAUCUAAGUGCCCUGGAACGGGCCGUCAUAGAGGGUGAGAAUCCCGUAUGGGAUGGGGUGCCCGCGCCCGUGUGAAGCUCCUUCGACGAGUCGAGUUGUUUGGGAAUGCAGCUCUAAUUGGGUGGUAAAUUUCAUCUAAAGCUAAAUAUUGGCCGGAGACCGAUAGCGCACAAGUAGAGUGAUCGAAAGAUGAAAAGCACUUUGAAAAGAGAGUUAAACAGCACGUGAAAUUGUUGAAAGGGAAGCGCUUGCGAUCAGACUCGCUCGCGGGGUUCAGCCGGCCUUCGGGCCGGUGUACUUCCCCGCGAGCGGGCCAGCGUCGGUUUGGGCGGCCGGUCAAAGGCCCCUGGAAUGUAACGCCUCUCGGGGCGUCUUAUAGCCAGGGGUGCCAUGCGGCCUGCCCGGACCGAGGAACGCGCUUCGGCUCGGACGCUGGCAUAAUGGUCGUAAGCGACCCGUCUUGAAACACGGGACCAAGGAGUCUAACAUCUACGCGAGUGUUCGGGUGUCAAACCCGUGCGCGCAGUGAAAGCGAACGGAGGUGGGAACCCCUCGGGGUGCACCAUCGACCGAUCCUGAUGUCUUCGGAUGGAUUUGAGUAAGAGCGUAGCUGUUGGGACCCGAAAGAUGGUGAACUAUGCCUGAAUAGGGCGAAGCCAGAGGAAACUUCUGGUGGAGGCUCGCAGCGGUUCUGACGUGCAAAUCGAUCGUCAAAUUUUGGGUUUAGGGGGGGAAAAAA